UACGAAGGGGGCUAGCGUUGUUCGGAAUUACUGGGCGUAAAGGGCGCGUAGGCGGCCUACUAAGUCGGACGUGAAAUCCCUCGGCUCAACCGAGGAACUGCGUCCGAUACUGGCAGGCUGGAAUCCGGGAGAGGGAUGUGGAAUUCCAGGUGUAGCGGUGAAAUGCGUAGAUAUCUGGAGGAACACCGGUGGCGAAGGCGGCAUCCAGGACCGGUAUUGACGCUGAGGCGCGAAAGCUAGGGGAGCAAACGGG
Molecule: ribosomal RNA, 253 nt
Filed under: uncultured bacterium
Lineage: Bacteria
Description: partial 16S ribosomal RNA
Rfam family: Bacterial small subunit ribosomal RNA
Source: RNAcentral